RNAcentral lists this ribosomal RNA (865 nucleotides) under Alphamyces chaetifer. RNAcentral's name for it is "eukaryotic LSU rRNA". It matches the Rfam family "Eukaryotic large subunit ribosomal RNA", at positions 60 to 944 of the family's 3401-position model. The record is from RNAcentral. Lineage: Eukaryota; Fungi; Chytridiomycota; Chytridiomycetes; Rhizophydiales; Alphamycetaceae.
AGAAGACUACAGGAUUCCCUCAGUAACGGCGAGUGAAGCGGGAACAGCUCAAAUUUGAAAUCUCCUUUUGGCGAAUUGUAGUUUAGAGAAACGUUUUCUUCUUGGACGGCAGGUACAAGUUCUUUGGAACAAGACAUCAUAGAGGGUGAAAAUCCCGUCUUUGACCUGCCCGAAGGGAUCUGUGAUACGUUUUCCAAGAGUCGGUUUGUUUGGGAAUGCAGACCAAAAUGGGUGGUAAAUACCAUCUAAAGCUAAAUAUUGGCGAGAGACCGAUAGCGAACAAGUACCGUGAGGGAAAGAUGAAAAGAACUUUGAAAAGAGAGUUAAACAGUACGUGAAAUUGUCAAAAGGGAAACGUUUGAAACCAGUAUUGCGUGCGGGAACUCAGCUGUCACUUGUGGCAGUGUACUUUCUCGCAUGCGAGUCAACAUCAGUUUGGCUCGGGGCAAAAAGCUCUGGCAAUGUAGCCUUCGGGUGUUAUAGGCCAGAGUCAUACCCUGGGCCGGACUGAGGACUGCAGCGUUUUUGGCUUCGGCACACCAGCGCUUAGGAUGUUGACGAAAUGGUUUUAAGCGACCCGUCUUGAAACACGGACCAAGGAGUCUAACAUAUAUGCGAGUAUUUGGGUGUCAAACCCUUAUGCGUAAUGAAAGUGAAAGGGUGGGAUCCCUCGGGGUGCACCAUCGACCGCGCCAGAUUAUUACUAUCUCGGUGUGAGUAUGAGCAUACAUGCUGGGACCCGAAAGAUGGUGAACUAUGCCUGAAUAGGGUGAAGCCAGAGGAAACUCUGGUGGAGGCUCGUAGCGGUUCUGACGUGCAAAUCGAUCGUCAAAUUUGGGUAUAGGGGCGAAAGACUAUCAACCUC